AGCGAACGCUGGCGGCAGGCUUAACACAUGCAAGUCGAACGAACCUUCCGGGGUUAGUGGCGGUCGGGUGAGUACCACCUGGGAACGUGCCUUUAGGUUCGGAAUAACUCAGGGUAACUUGUGUUCAUACAGAAUGUGCUCUUCGGGGGAAAGAUUGAUCGCUGAUUGAGCGGCGUGCGAUCAGUUAGCUGGUUGGUUGAGGUAAUGGCUCACCACGGCGACGUUGAGUAGCUGUUGUGAGAGGAUGCUUUGCCACAUUGGGACUGAGACACGGCCCAAACUCCGACGGGAGGCAGCAGUGGGGAAUCUUACGCAAUGAGCGAAAGCCUGACGCAGCCAUGCCGCGGGAGUGAUGAAGGUCUUAGGAUUGUAAAAUUCUUUCACAGGGGACGAUAAUGACGGUACCCGGAGAAGAAGCUCCGGCUAACUUCGUG
Molecule: ribosomal RNA, 434 nt
Filed under: uncultured bacterium
Lineage: Bacteria
Description: partial 16S ribosomal RNA
Rfam family: Bacterial small subunit ribosomal RNA
Source: RNAcentral